This 253-nucleotide ribosomal RNA is filed under the name uncultured bacterium. RNAcentral's name for it is "partial 16S ribosomal RNA". It matches the Rfam family "Bacterial small subunit ribosomal RNA", at positions 524 to 776 of the family's 1533-position model. The record is from RNAcentral.
UACGAAGGUGGCAAGCGUUAUUCGGAAUUACUAGGCGUAAAGGGCAGGUAGGCGGUUUGAUAAGUCUGUUGUGAAAGCUCCCGGCUUAACUGGGAGAGGUCAACAGAUACUGUCGAACUUGAGUAUGGGAGAGGGUACUGGAAUUCCUGGUGUAGCGGUGAAAUGCGCAGAGAUCAGGAGGAACACCGAUGGCGAAAGCAGGUACCUGGACCAUUACUGACGCUCAGCUGCGAAAGCUAGGGGAGCAAACAGG